Molecule: ribosomal RNA, 468 nt
Filed under: uncultured bacterium
Lineage: Bacteria
Description: partial 16S ribosomal RNA
Rfam family: Bacterial small subunit ribosomal RNA
Source: RNAcentral
GAUGAACGCUGGCGGCGUGCCUAACACAUGCAAGUCGAGCGAUCUUCUUCGGAGAAGAGCGGCGGACGGGUGAGUAACGCGUGGGUAACCUGCCCUGUACACACGGAUAACAUACCGAAAGGUAUGCUAAUACGAGAUAAUAUACUUUUAUCGCAUGGUAGAAGUAUCAAAGCUUUUGCGGUACAGGAUGGACCCGCGUCUGAUUAGCUAGUUGGUAAGGUAACGGCUUACCAAGGCGACGAUCAGUAGCCGACCUGAGAGGGUGAUCGGCCACAUUGGAACUGAGACACGGUCCAAACUCCUACGGGAGGCAGCAGUGGGGAAUAUUGCACAAUGGGCGAAAGCCUGAUGCAGCAACGCCGCGUGAGCGAUGAAGGCCUUCGGGUCGCAAAGCUCUGUCCUCAAGGAAGAUAAUGACGGUACUUGAGGAGGAAGCCCCGGCUAACUACGUGCCAGCAGCCGCGGUAA